CGUCCCCAUCACGACGUCCCCAUCCCACCAUGAUGUCCCCAUCCCACCACGAUGUCACCACCAUGACGUCCUCAUCCCAUCACGAUGUCACCACCACGAUGUCCCCAUCCAUCCCAUCCUGAUGUCCCCAUCUCAUCACGAUGUCACCACCAUGUUGUCCCCACCACGAUGUCACCACCACGAUGUCCCCACCACGAUGUCCCCAUCCCAUCACGAUGUCCCCAUUAAUCCCAUCCUGAUGUCCCCAUCCUGUCAUGAUGUCACCACCACGAUGUCCCCACCACGAUGUCCCCAUCCCAUCACGAUGUCCCCAUCCCAUCACGAUGUCACCAUCAUGACGUCCCCAUCCCAUCCUGAUGUCCCUACCACGACGUCCCCAUCCGUCCCACCAUGAUGUCCCCAUCUCAUCACGAUGUCACCACCACGAUGUCACCACCACGAUGUCCCCAUCCCAUCCUGUCCCCAUCCUGUCACGAUGUCACCAUCACGACGUCCCCACCCACCCCAUAGCGACGCCCCCACCCCAUUUCAGGUCCCCACCCCACCACCAUGCCGUCUGUCCCGUCGUGACAACAUCCGUCUGUCCCACCAUGAUGGUGUCCCUGCACCCCACAGCGACGCCCUCACCCCAUAGCGUCGUCCACCCACCCCAUAGCGACGCCCCCACCCCAUUCGAGGUCCCCACCCCAACACGAGCACGUCCGUCCCGUCGUCA
RNAcentral lists this long non-coding RNA (715 nucleotides) under Phasianus colchicus (ring-necked pheasant). Its description in RNAcentral is "lncRNA (ENSPCLG00000016598.1)". The record is from RNAcentral. Lineage: Eukaryota; Metazoa; Chordata; Aves; Galliformes; Phasianidae.